GAUCAUGGCUCAGAUUGAACGCUGGCGGCAGGCCUAACACAUGCAAGUCGAACGGUAAUAGGAAGAGCUUGCUUCUUUGCUGACGAGUGGCGGACGGGUGAGUAAUGUCUGGGAAACUGCCUGAUGGAGGGGGAUAACUACUGGAAACGAUAGCUAAUACCGCAUAACGUCGCAAGACCAAAAGGGGGACCUUCGGGCCUCUUGCCAUCGGAUGUGCCCAGAUGGGAUUAGCUAGUAGGUGGGGUAACGGCUCACCUAGGCGACGAUCCCUAGCUGGUCUGAGAGGAUGACCAGCCACACUGGAACUGAGACACGGUCCAGACUCCUACGGGAGGCAGCAGUGGGGAAUAUUGCACAAUGGGCGCAAGCCUGAUGCAGCCAUGCCGCGUGUAUGAAGAAGGCCUUCGGGUUGUAAAGUACUUUCAGCGGGGAGGAAGGGAGUAAAGUUAAUACCUUUGCUCAUUGACGUUACCCGCAGAAGAAGCACCGGCUAACUCCGUG
This 501-nucleotide ribosomal RNA is filed under the name uncultured bacterium. RNAcentral describes it as "bacterial SSU rRNA". It matches the Rfam family "Bacterial small subunit ribosomal RNA", at positions 15 to 507 of the family's 1533-position model. The record is from RNAcentral.